GCCUGUGAUGGAGACUAUAUAUAUGGUUCUGAAAUGCCAAGUUUUUCUUGCAUUUGUUGAAAAUUUUGAACUAGGACGGUCUGAGGC
This is a small nucleolar RNA of Medicago truncatula (barrel medic), 87 nucleotides long. It matches the Rfam family "Small nucleolar RNA snoR20a". From Rfam's summary of the family: The O.sativum sequence was obtained from the plant snoRNA database. Lineage: Eukaryota; Viridiplantae; Streptophyta; Magnoliopsida; Fabales; Fabaceae. The record is from Rfam.